GACGAACGCUGGCGGCGUGCUUAACACAUGCAAGUCGAACGGAAAGGCCUGCUUUUGUUGGGGUCCCGGAGUGCCAACGGGGUGAUUAACCCUGAGUUACCCUCCCCUGACCUUUGGGUUAACUUAGGGAACUGGGGCUUAUUCCGGAUUGGGACCUCCUCCUGCUUGGUGGGGGUUGGAAAUUUCGGCGGUUGGGGGUGGACUCGCGGCUUAUCAGCUUGUUGGUGGGGUAGUGGCUUACCAAGGCUUUGACGGGUAGCCGGCCUGAGAGGGUGACCGGCCACAUUGGGACUGAGAUACGGCCCAGACUCCUACGGGAGGCAGCAGUGGGGAAUAUUGCACAAUGGGCGGAAGCCUGAUGCAGCAACGCCGCGUGCGGGAUGACGGCCUUCGGGUUGUAAACCGCUUUCGCCUGUGACGAAGCGUGAGUGACGGUAAUGGGUAAAGAAGCACCGGCUAACUACGUG
This 467-nucleotide ribosomal RNA is filed under the name uncultured bacterium. RNAcentral describes it as "partial 16S ribosomal RNA". It matches the Rfam family "Bacterial small subunit ribosomal RNA", at positions 28 to 507 of the family's 1533-position model. The record is from RNAcentral.